This 497-nucleotide ribosomal RNA is filed under the name uncultured bacterium. RNAcentral describes it as "partial 16S ribosomal RNA". It matches the Rfam family "Bacterial small subunit ribosomal RNA", at positions 28 to 507 of the family's 1533-position model. The record is from RNAcentral.
GAUGAACGCUGGCGGCGUGCCUAAUACAUGCAAGUCGAGCGAACGGACGAGAAGCUUGCUUUUCUGAUGUUAGCGGCGGACGGGUGAGUAACACGUGGAUAACCUACCUAUAAGACUGGGAUAACUUCGGGAAACCGGAGCUAAUACCGGAUAAUAUUUUGAACCGCAUGGUUCAAAAGUGAAAGACGGUCUUGCUGUCACUUAUAGAUGGAUCCGCGCUGCAUUAGCUAGUUGGUAAGGUAACGGCUUACCAAGGCAACGAUGCAUAGCCGACCUGAGAGGGUGAUCGGCCACACUGGAACUGAGACACGGUCCAGACUCCGACGGGAGGCAGCAGUAGGGAAUCUUCCGCAAUGGGCGAAAGCCUGACGGAGCAACGCCGCGUGAGUGAUGAAGGUCUUCGGAUCGUAAAACUCUGUUAUUAGGGGAGAACAUAUGUGUAAGUAACUGUGCACAUCUUGACGGUACCUAAUCAGAAAGCCACGGCUAACUACGUG